CAAUAGCGUAUAUUAAAGUUGUUGCAGUUAAAAAGCUCGUAGUUGAAUUUCUGGCGGGCGCGCCGGUCUUCCAAGUGUUGUACUGGGCGCAGUCCGCCAUCCUUGUGGAGAGGGCUCGCAUUGAGUUGCGUGUCGGAUCUGCAUCAUUUACUGUGAAAAAAUUAGAGUGUUUAAAGCAGGCUGUCGCUUGAAUACAUUAGCAUGGAAUAAUAAGAUAGGACUUCGGUCUAUUUUGUUGGUUGCGAACCGAGGUAAUGAUUAAUAGGGAUAGUUGGGGGUAUUCAUAUUUAAUUGUCAGAGGUGAAAUUCUUGGAUUUAUGAAAGAUGAACAACUGCGAAAGCAUUUACCAAGGAUGGUUUCAUUAA
Molecule: ribosomal RNA, 366 nt
Filed under: uncultured eukaryote
Lineage: Eukaryota
Description: partial 18S ribosomal RNA
Rfam family: Eukaryotic small subunit ribosomal RNA
Source: RNAcentral